UGAUCUCGCAAUCUCUUGCCU
Molecule: non-coding RNA, 21 nt
Filed under: Caenorhabditis elegans
Lineage: Eukaryota; Metazoa; Nematoda; Chromadorea; Rhabditida; Rhabditidae
Source: RNAcentral